AUUGAACGCUGGCGGCAGGCCUAACACAUGCAAGUCGAGCGGAUGAAGGGAGCUUGCUCCUGGAUUCAGCGGCGGACGGGUGAGUAAUGCCUAGGAAUCUGCCUGGUAGUGGGGGAUAACGUCCGGAAACGGGCGCUAAUACCGCAUACGUCCUGAGGGAGAAAGUGGGGGAUCUUCGGACCUCACGCUAUCAGAUGAGCCUAGGUCGGAUUAGCUAGUUGGUGGGGUAAAGGCCUACCAAGGCGACGAUCCGUAACUGGUCUGAGAGGAUGAUCAGUCACACUGGGACUGAGACACGGUCCAGACUCCUACGGGAGGCAGCAGUGGGGAAUAUUGGACAAUGGGCGAAAGCCUGAUCCAGCCAUGCCGCGUGUGUGAAGAAGGUCUUCGGAUUGUAAAGCACUUUAAGUUGGGAGGAAGGGAAGUAAGUUAAUACCUUGCUGUUUUGACGUUACCAACAGAAUAAGCACCGGCUAACUUCGUG
Molecule: ribosomal RNA, 484 nt
Filed under: uncultured bacterium
Lineage: Bacteria
Description: partial 16S ribosomal RNA
Rfam family: Bacterial small subunit ribosomal RNA
Source: RNAcentral